This 2544-nucleotide ribosomal RNA is filed under the name metagenome. Its description in RNAcentral is "bacterial LSU rRNA". It matches the Rfam family "Bacterial large subunit ribosomal RNA", at positions 1 to 2570 of the family's 2925-position model. The record is from RNAcentral.
UUAAGCGACUAAGCGUACACGGUGGAUGCCCUGGCAGUCAGAGGCGAUGAAGGACGUGCUAAUCUGCGAUAAGCGUCGGUAAGGUGAUAUGAACCGUUAUAACCGGCGAUUUCCGAAUGGGGAAACCCAGUGUGUUUCGACACACUAUCAUUAACUGAAUCCAUAGGUUAAUGAGGCGAACCGGGGGAACUGAAACAUCUAAGUACCCCGAGGAAAAGAAAUCAACCGAGAUUCCCCCAGUAGCGGCGAGCGAACGGGGAGCAGCCCAGAGCCUGAAUCAGUGUGUGUGUUAGUGGAAGCGUCUGGAAAGGCGCGCGAUACAGGGUGACAGCCCCGUACACAAAAAUGCACAUGCUGUGAGCUCGAUGAGUAGGGCGGGACACGUGGUAUCCUGUCUGAAUAUGGGGGGACCAUCCUCCAAGGCUAAAUACUCCUGACUGACCGAUAGUGAACCAGUACCGUGAGGGAAAGGCGAAAAGAACCCCGGCGAGGGGAGUGAAAAAGAACCUGAAACCGUGUACGUACAAGCAGUGGGAGCACGCUUAGGCGUGUGACUGCGUACCUUUUGUAUAAUGGGUCAGCGACUUAUAUUCUGUAGCAAGGUUAACCGAAUAGGGGAGCCGAAGGGAAACCGAGUCUUAACUGGGCGUUAAGUUGCAGGGUAUAGACCCGAAACCCGGUGAUCUAGCCAUGGGCAGGUUGAAGGUUGGGUAACACUAACUGGAGGACCGAACCGACUAAUGUUGAAAAAUUAGCGGAUGACUUGUGGCUGGGGGUGAAAGGCCAAUCAAACCGGGAGAUAGCUGGUUCUCCCCGAAAGCUAUUUAGGUAGCGCCUCGUGAAUUCAUCUCCGGGGGUAGAGCACUGUUUCGGCAAGGGGGUCAUCCCGACUUACCAACCCGAUGCAAACUGCGAAUACCGGAGAAUGUUAUCACGGGAGACACACGGCGGGUGCUAACGUCCGUCGUGAAGAGGGAAACAACCCAGACCGCCAGCUAAGGUCCCAAAGUCAUGGUUAAGUGGGAAACGAUGUGGGAAGGCCCAGACAGCCAGGAUGUUGGCUUAGAAGCAGCCAUCAUUUAAAGAAAGCGUAAUAGCUCACUGGUCGAGUCGGCCUGCGCGGAAGAUGUAACGGGGCUAAACCAUGCACCGAAGCUGCGGCAGCGACGCUUAUGCGUUGUUGGGUAGGGGAGCGUUCUGUAAGCCUGCGAAGGUGUGCUGUGAGGCAUGCUGGAGGUAUCAGAAGUGCGAAUGCUGACAUAAGUAACGAUAAAGCGGGUGAAAAGCCCGCUCGCCGGAAGACCAAGGGUUCCUGUCCAACGUUAAUCGGGGCAGGGUGAGUCGACCCCUAAGGCGAGGCCGAAAGGCGUAGUCGAUGGGAAACAGGUUAAUAUUCCUGUACUUGGUGUUACUGCGAAGGGGGGACGGAGAAGGCUAUGUUGGCCGGGCGACGGUUGUCCCGGUUUAAGCGUGUAGGCUGGUUUUCCAGGCAAAUCCGGAAAAUCAAGGCUGAGGCGUGAUGACGAGGCACUACGGUGCUGAAGCAACAAAUGCCCUGCUUCCAGGAAAAGCCUCUAAGCAUCAGGUAACAUCAAAUCGUACCCCAAACCGACACAGGUGGUCAGGUAGAGAAUACCAAGGCGCUUGAGAGAACUCGGGUGAAGGAACUAGGCAAAAUGGUGCCGUAACUUCGGGAGAAGGCACGCUGAUAUGUAGGUGAAGUCCCUUGCGGAUGGAGCUGAAAUCAGUCGAAGAUACCAGCUGGCUGCAACUGUUUAUUAAAAACACAGCACUGUGCAAACACGAAAGUGGACGUAUACGGUGUGACGCCUGCCCGGUGCCGGAAGGUUAAUUGAUGGGGUUAGCGGUAACGCGAAGCUCUUGAUCGAAGCCCCGGUAAACGGCGGCCGUAACUAUAACGGUCCUAAGGUAGCGAAAUUCCUUGUCGGGUAAGUUCCGACCUGCACGAAUGGCGUAAUGAUGGCCAGGCUGUCUCCACCCGAGACUCAGUGAAAUUGAACUCGCUGUGAAGAUGCAGUGUACCCGCGGCAAGACGGAAAGACCCCGUGAACCUUUACUAUAGCUUGACACUGAACAUUGAGCCUUGAUGUGUAGGAUAGGUGGGAGGCUUUGAAGUGUGGACGCCAGUCUGCAUGGAGCCGACCUUGAAAUACCACCCUUUAAUGUUUGAUGUUCUAACGUUGACCCGUAAUCCGGGUUGCGGACAGUGUCUGGUGGGUAGUUUGACUGGGGCGGUCUCCUCCUAAAGAGUAACGGAGGAGCACGAAGGUUGGCUAAUCCUGGUCGGACAUCAGGAGGUUAGUGCAAUGGCAUAAGCCAGCUUGACUGCGAGCGUGACGGCGCGAGCAGGUGCGAAAGCAGGUCAUAGUGAUCCGGUGGUUCUGAAUGGAAGGGCCAUCGCUCAACGGAUAAAAGGUACUCCGGGGAUAACAGGCUGAUACCGCCCAAGAGUUCAUAUCGACGGCGGUGUUUGGCACCUCGAUGUCGGCUCAUCACAUCCUGGGGCUGAAGUAGGUCCCAAGG